RNAcentral lists this non-coding RNA (29 nucleotides) under Rattus norvegicus (Norway rat). Lineage: Eukaryota; Metazoa; Chordata; Mammalia; Rodentia; Muridae. The record is from RNAcentral.
UGACUUUACUUAGUGUACAGUCUCAUGGU